GCCACUGAGCUACACCCCCAGCUCCAAAACUUCACAUAAUACUUGAUGAUUAUCAACCUCCUGUGUUCCAUAUAUCUAUGACCAAUCUGUAAUGCAGAAAGCACAUUUAUUUUAAGGGAAAAACUGAGAAGUGAUGCUCUUUAGCGACUAAAUGGCAGAACCAGAUUUAGAACUGAGUAAGAGCUAUCUGUGAAAUGUAGGAAACUUUGUCAUUGUAUGUUGUUUUGUUGUUAAAGAUAUUUUGAUUUGCCACUUAGAAUUUUACCUUCCUCAGUAUCCAGACUACAAAAUUUGCCAGAGUUUAUUUAGUCCUGUUUUCAACAGUCAUCCAGGAGAUUCAGUUUCUGUUUUUCUGAUGAGUAGUGUUCAGUAACAUGGAGAAGUCUUAAGAGUGACUAGCAUUUUCACUGAUUUUUUCAUCUACUUGAACAUUUUUUACUCAUUUAUUUGUAAGAGUUCCAUGCCUUGAACAAAUAUAAUUACCUGCUGUGGAGAGAAGAGAGUUAAUGAUAGAUUACUUUUUCUCCGGGCCAUCUCAGUUCUUUCACUUUCUUCUGGUUACAUCCGAAGCAUGGAUAUACUAUAUUUAUACUUUAAAAGACAGACAUUGUGCCAUGAAAUUGAGGUGGUUCAGUUGUCCUAUUAUACUUACAAAGGCGCUUCCCCAAACAUCCUUUAAAUUUCAGUUUUUAUAAGAAUAUUUUCAGAAUAAAAGUAAUUUUCAUAUUUGUAUGGCAAAAUUUAGCUCAUCAAGAAAAUACAUUAUUAGGUGUUCAUUAUUAAAUGAAACUAACAAAACUAAUAUGCUGAAACCUUUUCAUUUAGUACUGCCAGACUAGUGCUUAACUAUGCAGUCUGUUCUCUUGUGCCUAGGUUAGUAACCCCAGUUUGCUUUUCUGUUUAGUUUCUUGAGUAAUUUUAGUUGGAGGUUGGAGAAGAGGUGAGAAGAAAGUGCCAUUUAGUGUUUUGGUUCUUAAAUAGGAUGCUGCCUAACCAAGUUAAUUUCCAUGUUCUAUUGACUUUAUUGCUAUCCAGGUGAUUGAAAGAAAACAAAAUGGACGGGCACCAUUAAAACCAGCUCAAAAUAAUAUUGUUAUUGGUAAAGAUUUCUUGUCAAGAUGUCUUGGCUUGCACUUUUGUUGAGGGAAGACAGUGUAAAUAGUCGAAGAAUGUUGAUAAAUUGAAACUUUUGGUUAUGGAACUGUGUGUAGGGUUAGAGGCUUUCUGUUUGUGAAAUGUAUGUGUUAAAAAUAAAGUUUCAGAAGUUAACAUCAUGAGAAAAAUUAUUUAGUCCUGUUUUCAAAAAAAC
This is a long non-coding RNA of Fukomys damarensis (Damara mole-rat), 1309 nucleotides long. RefSeq lists it as uncharacterized. Lineage: Eukaryota; Metazoa; Chordata; Mammalia; Rodentia; Bathyergidae. The record is from RefSeq and is a predicted model, not a curated record. The transcript is spliced from 3 exons.